CGUGAUGGGCUUCCUCCUCUCCCUGGUCUUAAAGAACUGCUCUGCUCUCUCCCUUUCUUCUUCAUGCUUCUUCGGAUGAGAGCCCAAGUUUCAAUCCUUCUGUUGGAUUUGCAAUCCGAGACCAUGGCUUCCGAGAACCAGAGCUAGGAGAUCAGGAUAAUUUAGAAACAGCGAGAAAAAAAUGCCAACAAAUGUGGAGAUUCUUGUAGAGAACAUGAGGAUCAUAUGAUGGAUCACAUCUUAAAACAGCUACUAGGUCUUCAAAUUGCCAUUGAAUGCUGUCAAUGUCGCACUGCGGUUCUCCAUGUUGGGCAACCGUUUUCUUUCCAUCUUAUUUGGGUGACCAUGGCAGGAGUCAUUUCCACAAAGAUGCUCAUUUUCCAGACAAGCUUGUGCCGUGAUUAUUUUUGUUAUCCGUAUGAUUUUAUCGACAACCCUUGAGCCAUCAGUCGGGAAUAAUUCGAGGGUAAUUCUUGUUGACAGAGAUGCUGCUUUGAUUGUCUCCUCCGUUUUAGUUUGGGUGGUGGAUUUCUUGUAACGUAGAUGAUACAUAGAGGAAGCAGAUGAUUCUGAGUGAGUAAAAACUCGCUGAGUUUUGGAAAAAAAUUGCGUAUUUCGCUCCUUGGAUCUGAAGUACUGUAUGUAAUGUAAAAUUUGAGGGAAACCAAUGUGAUUGUUUGAUGAGCGAAAUUCUCAGAGGAAGCUGUGAAUGAAUGAAGUGACAAUUCGCGGUGAAGUUUUUUUUUCUGGAGUAAAAACCUUGAUUAGAAAUUACCUUCCUUAUCAGGUAGAGCACGCGUAUUUUUCAGUCCAUGAUUUCUCUAAUUGUCCUUCAUGUGUCUCUUCGCUGGCCAUCUUGUGAAUACGAAAUUUGAAUGAAUCCAAGAACAAAUAGGUUUAGAGGGAGAGUCUCACCUUCCCUGGUGACCUUGUGCUGCUUCUCUGGAAAUUUGCCCGUGACAAUCUCAGCCCGUUUCCUCUUCGAACUCGAACUGGCAGGCUUUGAACAACCUCGGCAGUGUGUAUGCGGACUUCGGGAGGCUGGACCUGGCGGCGGACUGCUAUAUGAGCGCUCUCCAAAUUCGGCACACCCGAGCACACCAGGGCCUCGCUCGCGUUCACUUCCUCAAGGACGACAGUGACGCCGCCUACAAAGAAAUGACGAAAUUGAUAGAGAAGGCUAAGAACAACGCCUCGGCGUACGAGAAGCGAUCAGAGUACUGCCGCCAUGAACUCACGGCCGCAGAUCUUGAGACGGCAACUCAGCUGGAUCCACUGCGGGUUUAUCCUUACCGGUACCGCGCGGCAGGUCGUCUCCCUCCCCUCAUCUUUUGAAUCCAUCCAUCCUCCGGUUGGUUGACCUAUCCUGGAUCUGACAAAAACGAGGGGUUUCCUCCGAUCUGCGACACGGGAACGGAACAGUGUUGAUGGACGCCCGCAAGGAGAAGGAGGCCAUUGCAGAACUGACCAGGGCGAUCGUCUUCAAGGUGGAUCUCCAUCUUCUUCACCUCCGCGCCGCCUUCAACCAGCACAUCGGUGACAUCACCGGCGC
This 1552-nucleotide long non-coding RNA is filed under the name Spirodela polyrhiza (greater duckweed). RNAcentral describes it as "long non-coding RNA (SPOL_LNC001204)". The record is from RNAcentral. Lineage: Eukaryota; Viridiplantae; Streptophyta; Magnoliopsida; Alismatales; Araceae.